RNAcentral lists this ribosomal RNA (253 nucleotides) under uncultured bacterium. RNAcentral's name for it is "partial 16S ribosomal RNA". It matches the Rfam family "Bacterial small subunit ribosomal RNA", at positions 524 to 776 of the family's 1533-position model. The record is from RNAcentral.
UACGGAGGGGGCUAGCGUUGCUCGGAAUUACUGGGCGUAAAGGGAGCGUAGGCGGACAUUUAAGUCAGGGGUGAAAUCCCGGGGCUCAACCUCGGAAUUGCCUUUGAUACUGGGUGUCUUGAGUAUGAGAGAGGUAUGUGGAACUCCGAGUGUAGAGGUGAAAUUCGUAGAUAUUCGGAAGAACACCAGUGGCGAAGGCGACAUACUGGCUCAUUACUGACGCUGAGGCUCGAAAGCGUGGGGAGCAAACAGG